AUACAUUAAAAAUAAAAACUUAAAUUUUCUUCACAUAUACCACACAAUUGUAGAAUCUAAAUCAGACAACAAUCUAAUAAAAGUUACUAAUCCAUAUUUCAAUUAUACAAACCAUAAUUAGUCAUAUUAAUUCAAUUAUUACUAAAUAGGACUACCACUGUGCGUAGCGACCCCCGGAUGAAUCGUUGGGAAAUACGGUUUUCCCGUUCAUCUCACAAUAUAUUAUACCCAUGAAUUCAAACGCUCUCUCACCCCUUACCUUUUCCAACGCUUUCGCACACGGAUACAACUCCGCAAGAAAAAAACAUAUGUUCUUUAACUCCUUGUCCUUCAAUUGAUCUAACUUGACAGUUUAUGUUUAAACGUCAGAAAUAAAUUAUAAAAAUACACUCUAAAAAGGUCAAUUUUCGAAAUAGAAUCAAGUUAACUUACCUAAAUUGGAAAACAAUAAUGGUAUAAUAUAGCCAUCAUUCACACGGUCAUUUUGACGUUGGUUUCACUCAAAUCGGACUUACGGUGAAGAAGAACGGUUCAAAAUAACGAAUUUCAUAAACAGAGACGUCGAGUAUUUUAGAGAUGAAUUGGGAUGGUUAAAAAUCUGAAGAAAAAAAAAU
RNAcentral lists this long non-coding RNA (614 nucleotides) under Cicer arietinum (chickpea). RNAcentral describes it as "long non-coding RNA (CARI_LNC003113)". Lineage: Eukaryota; Viridiplantae; Streptophyta; Magnoliopsida; Fabales; Fabaceae. The record is from RNAcentral.